Long non-coding RNA from Passer domesticus (house sparrow), 498 nucleotides. RefSeq lists it as uncharacterized. The record is from RefSeq and is a predicted model, not a curated record. NCBI's taxonomy places the organism in Eukaryota, Metazoa, Chordata, Aves, Passeriformes, Passeridae. The transcript is spliced from 3 exons.
UAAGACGUUUGCAGAACUCUCUGUCAUCCCUGGAUGACACAGAGCAACCAACAAUAAUGCAAAAUCAAUUGUGACCUACCAAAGAAUGCACUCCCCCUCUGCCUAGGUAGCCUUCAAAUUUACUUGUGCAGCAAAGCCAAGUGCCACUGUGAGGAGGAAAAUGAAGGAGAGUUAUGACUAGGACACAGCCAAUCCAUGGAAGAUUUAACAGCUAAAAUGAAGGAUUAAUCCCAGAAGUGAUUGCACAGCUGUACUGUCCAACAAAGAAGAGUCACUUGGGACAGAAACUCCUUGCUAGGUUUUCUCCGGGCUGCUUCUCCACUUUGGGAAAGGUGAAUUUCCCUACCCAUCCCACCACAUCCAGCAGUGCCCAAUACCAGACCUGGACCAUGGAAAUACAAUCCUGCCACUCAGUGCACUGUCAGGUCUCAAACUACAGGAAUACUGAAGAUGUAAAACUUGUGGAUCCAAAGCAUUAAACUGAAUAACUCAAAGGAU